This is a non-coding RNA of Coturnix japonica (Japanese quail), 358 nucleotides long. The record is from RefSeq and is a predicted model, not a curated record. Lineage: Eukaryota; Metazoa; Chordata; Aves; Galliformes; Phasianidae.
AAUUGAAGCUAUAAAGCUAUAAUUUUUCUGUGGUUAUUUUCGUAUUUAUUUUUUGUUGAUUUUUUGUUGUUGUUGGUUUUUUUUUUGAGGGGACAAGUAAAUUUUUCAUGUACUGUUUGACAGAAGAAGUUAGAGCCCAUUUCAUGCCUUUAGAUGAAAAUGGCCUCAAGAACUCAAGAAAUCGCCUCAAGUUGUGCCAGGGUUGCUUUGAUUAAAAAUCAUAUUCCACAUUGAAGGAAUUUUUAUUCCAAUUCCCAGGAAGCUGUAGAAAUUAUCAUCAGGCUGUGUGUAGCAAGCUGAGAUUUUGACACUUCAUAGAGACACAUACCUGAACAUAAAAAAAUGUGGCUACUGAGAG